Molecule: ribosomal RNA, 3371 nt
Organism: Macadamia integrifolia
Lineage: Eukaryota; Viridiplantae; Streptophyta; Magnoliopsida; Proteales; Proteaceae
Source: RefSeq, a predicted model, not a curated record
CGACCCCAAGUCAGGCAGGGCUACCCACUGAGUUUAAGCAUAUCAAUAAGUGGAGGACAAGAAACUUACAAGGAUUCCCUUAGUAAUGGCGAGCUAAUUGGGAAGAGCCCAGCUUGAGAAUCGGGCGGCUUUAUCAUUCGAGUUGUAGUCUAUAGAAGCAUCCUCAGUGGUGGAUCGGGCCCAAGUGCAUUGGAAGGGGGAACCAGAGAGGAUAAGUGCCCCAUCAUGUUCGAACCCUAUCGCACCACAAGGCGCUGUCGGCGAGUCAGGUUGUUUGGGAAUACAACCCCAACUGGGUAGUAAAUUCUGUCCAAGGCUAAAUAUGGGCGAGAGACCGAUAGCGAACUAGUACCGCCAGGGAAAGAUGGAAAGGACGUUGAAAAGAGAGUCAAAGAGUGCUUGAAAUUGUCACGAGGGAAGCGCAUGGGGGCCGGUGAUGCGUCUCGAUUGGAUACGAAAUGGUUAAUAGCCGAUUUGUCGCUUGACUCAGGGCAUGGACCAAUGUGGAUUGCGGUGGCAUCCCACGCCCGGGUUGUCACGUUAUGCCUGAGGAGAUGUCAUCGCCAUGAUUGUGGUAGGCUGCGUGUACCUCGAUGGCGUGCCUGUUGGCAACUGCAUGCUCCGGGCAUCGGCCUAUCGGGCUCCCCAUUCGACCCAUCUUGAAACACGAACCAAGGAGUCUGACAUGUGUGCAAGUCCACGGGCAAGUAAAACCCAUAAGGUGUAAGGAAGCUGACUAGUGGGAUCCCCUUGUGGGUUGCACUGCUGACCGACCUUGAUCUUUUGUGAAGGGUUCGAGUGAGAGCAUACCUGUCGGGACCCAAAAGAUGGUGAACUAUACCUGAGUGAGGCGAAGCCAGAGGAAACUCUAGUGGAGGUCCAUAGUGAUAUUGAUGUGCAAAUCGUUCGUCUGACUUGGUUAUAGGGACGAAAGACUAAUCGAACCAUCUAGUAGUUGGUUCCCUCCGAAGUUUCACUUGGGAUAGUUGGAGCCUGCAGGCGAGUUCUAUCGGGUAAAGCCAAUGAUUAGAGGCAUCAGGGGCGCAACGCCCUCAACCUGUUCUCAAACUUUAAAUAGGUAGGACGGCGUGGUUGCUUCGUUGAGCCGUGCCAUGGAAUCGAGAGCUCCAAGUGGGCCAUUUUUGGUAAGCAAAACUGACGAUGCGGGAUAAAUCAAAAGUUGGGUUACGAUACUGGAUUGCAUGUAAACCUAGAACCCACAAAGGGUGUUGGUCGAUUAAGACAGCAGGAUAGUGGUCAUGGAAGUCAAAAUCUGCUAAGGAGUUUGUAACAACUCACUUGCAGAAUCAACUAGCCCCAAAAAUGGAUGACGUUGAAGCGCGAAAGCUAUACCCGACUGUCGGGGUAACUGCUAGGCCCCGAUGAGUAGGAUGGCACGGUGUUCACCGUAAAACCUAGGUCGUGAGCCCGAGCGGAGCAUCCGUUAGUGCAGAUCUUGGUGGUAGUAGCAAAUAUUCAAAUGAGAACUUUGAAGGCCAAAGAGGGGAAAGGUUCCAUGUGAACGACACUUGCACAUGGGUUAGUCGAUCUUAAGGGACGGGGGAAGCCUGUCAGAGAGCGUGUACGCAAGCAUACUCCUAAUGGGAAUCGGGUUAAAAUUCCUAAACUAAGACGUGGCGGUUGACAGCAAUGUUAGGAAGUCCUGAGACGUCGGUGGGGGCCUUGGGAAGAGUUAUCUUUUCUGUUUAACAGCCCGCCCACCCUAGAAAUGGCUCAGUCAGAGGUAGGGUCGAGUGGUUGGAAGAGCACCGCACAUUGUGUGGUGUCCGGUGCACCCCUGACGGCCCUUGAAAAUUCGGAGGACCGAGUGUCGACCACGCCCGGUCAUACUCAUAACCGCAUCAGGUCUCCAAGGUGAACAACCUCUGGUCGAUGGAACAAUAUAGGCAAGGGAAGUCGGUAAAAUGGAUCUAUAACCUCAAGAAAAGGAUUGGCUCUGAGGGCUAGGCAUAGGGGUCCCAGUCCCGAGCUUGUCGAUUGUCGGUGGGCUGCUCGAGUUGCUUUCACGAUGAGAGCGGGUCGUUGUGUGCCAGUUGGGGGACUAAUUGGGAACGGCCCCCUCAGGGGCCUUCCCCGGGUGUCGAAUAGUCGACUCAGAACUAGUAUGAAAAAGGGGAAUCCGACUAUUUAAUUAAAACAAAGCAUUACGAUGGUCCCUGCGAAGCUCAUGCAAUGUGAUUUCUGCCUAAUGUUCUGAAUGUCAAAGUGAAGAAUUCAACCAAGUGCGAGUAAAAGGCAGGGGUAACUAUGAAUCUCUUAAGGUAGCCAAAUGCCUCGUCAUCUAAUUAGUGAUUCACAUGAAUGGAUUAACGAGAUUCCCACUGUCCCUGUCUACUAUCCAGCGAAACCACAGCCAAGGGAACUGGCUUGGAAAAAUCAGUGGGAAAAGAAGAUCGUGUUGAGCUUGACUCUAGUCUGACUUUGUGAAAUGACUUGAGAGGUGUAGGAUAAGUGGGAGCUGGAAACGGCGCAAGUGAAAUACGACCACUUUUAACAUUAUUUUACUUACUCCGUGCGUCGGAGGUGGGGUUUUGCCCCUCCUUUUGGACCCAAGGCCCGCCUCGACGGGGGGAUCUGGGCAAAGGACAUUGUUAGGUGGGGAGUUUGGCUGGGGUGGCACAUCUAUUAAAAAAUAACACAGGUGUCCUAAUAUGAGCUCAAUGAGAACAGAAAUCUCGUGUGGAACAAAAGGGUAAAAGCUCGUUUGAUUCUGAUUUCCAGUACGAAUAUGAACUAUGAAAGCUUGGCCUAUCGAUCCUUUAGACCUUUGGAAUUUGAAGCUAGAGGUGUCAAAAAGGUUACCACAGGGAUAACUAGCUUGUGGCAGCCAAGCGUUUAUAGUGACAUUGCUUUUUUAUCCUUCGAUGUUGGCUCUUCCUAUCAUUACGAAGCAGAAUUCGUCAAGUGUUGGAUUGUUCACCCACCAAUAGGGAACGUGAGCUAGGUUUAGACCAUCGUGAGACAGGUUAAUUUUACCCUACUGAUGAUAGUGUCAUGAUAGUAAUUCAUCCUAGUAUAAGAGGAACUAUUGAUUCACACAAUUGGUCAUCACGCUUGGUUGAAAAGUAAGUGGCGCGAAGCUGCCAUGUGCCGGAUUAUGACUGAAUGCCUCUAAGUCAGAAUCCAGGCUAAAGAAGUGAUGCUUGUGCCCAUCGCCAAUUUACCGACCCGCAGUAAGGGGCAAGCCCCCAUAGUGGACAUGUUGUGUGGGCUGCCUUGAAGCAUAAUUCCUGUCGGACGAUGGGUAGAAUCCUUUGUAAAUGACUUAAAUGCGACGGGGUAUUGUAAGUGGUAGAGUGGCCUUGCUGCCAAGAUCCACUGAGAUUCAGCCCCAUGUCGCAUCAAUUCAU